This 30-nucleotide non-coding RNA is filed under the name Rattus norvegicus (Norway rat). Lineage: Eukaryota; Metazoa; Chordata; Mammalia; Rodentia; Muridae. The record is from RNAcentral.
UAGUUGGAUCCGAGUUACCUUGAUGAAAUC